This 301-nucleotide ribosomal RNA is filed under the name uncultured bacterium. RNAcentral's name for it is "partial 16S ribosomal RNA". It matches the Rfam family "Bacterial small subunit ribosomal RNA", at positions 509 to 807 of the family's 1533-position model. The record is from RNAcentral.
CAGUCGCCGCGGUAAAACGAAGGGUGCAAGCGUUACUCGGAAUUACUGGGCGUAAAGCGUGCGUAGGUGGUGGUUUAAGUCCGUUGUGAAAGCCCUGGGCUCAACCUGGGAAUUGCAGUGGAUACUGGGUCACUAGAGUGUGGUAGAGGAUAGUGGAAUUUCCGGUGUAGCAGUGAAAUGCGUAGAGAUCGGAAGGAACAUCUGUGGCGAAGGCGACUAUCUGGGCCAACACUGACACUGAGGCACGAAAGCGUGGGGAGCAAACAGGAUUAGAGACCCGAGUAGUCCCUGUCUCUUAUAC